This 45-nucleotide non-coding RNA is filed under the name Schistosoma mansoni. Lineage: Eukaryota; Metazoa; Platyhelminthes; Trematoda; Strigeidida; Schistosomatidae. The record is from RNAcentral.
AUCCAGCUGACUAGUCCCAGAAAGGACAAUACGCGCGUCCUGGAU